Molecule: ribosomal RNA, 405 nt
Filed under: Triticum aestivum (bread wheat)
Lineage: Eukaryota; Viridiplantae; Streptophyta; Magnoliopsida; Poales; Poaceae
Description: partial small subunit ribosomal RNA
Source: RNAcentral
AUGUUGCCCUUUUCCCCACAGCAGAAUGUGGAAUGCCGGAAUCAGACUGUCGUUGCCACUGCUCAUGCCCUGUUGAAACAAAGGAAGUUGCCAGCAAAAUUUUGGGGGGAGGCGGUCACAACUGCAGUUUUCCUGCUGAAUCGAGCCCCGACCAAAAGUAUGGCUGGCAUGACGGCCACGGGAGGAAGCCUGCUGUCCAGCACCUGCGCACCUUUGGGCGUGUGGUGUACGUCAAGGACGUACGCCCUCAGCUUCGCAAGCCCGAUGAUUGCAGCUCCGCCAUGGUCUUCAUCGGCUACGACGAGCGCGUCAAGGGCUACUGCACAUACGAACAAGCAUGUCCAUAUCACUUGUGAUGUCAUCUUUGAUGAAGAGGCCAGCUGGGAUUGGACGGCCGUGCAGUGA